This 270-nucleotide long non-coding RNA is filed under the name Salmo salar (Atlantic salmon). RNAcentral's name for it is "lncRNA (ENSSSAG00000083102.1, ENSSSAG00000121616.1)". The record is from RNAcentral. Lineage: Eukaryota; Metazoa; Chordata; Actinopteri; Salmoniformes; Salmonidae.
CUCAGUUACUGGUCUCCCACUACAACUAAAUUACUGGUCUCCCCACUAUAACUAAUUUACUGGUCUCCCCACUACAACUCAGUUACUGGUCUCCCCAAUACAACUCAGUUACUGGUCUCCCCACUACAACUCAGUUACUGGUCUCCCCACUACAACUCAGUUACUGGUCACCCCACUACAACUCAGAUACUGGUCUCCCCACUACAACUCAGUUACGGGUCUCCCCACUACAACUCAGUUACGGGUCUCCCCACUACAACUCAGUUACUA